This 540-nucleotide transfer RNA is filed under the name uncultured cyanobacterium. RNAcentral describes it as "partial 16S-23S ribosomal RNA intergenic spacer". The stretch from base 212 to 284 matches the Rfam family "tRNA". Lineage: Bacteria; Bacillati; Cyanobacteriota. The record is from RNAcentral.
CAGGGAGACAACAAAAUGUUUAAUAUUAUUAUUUUGUCACCUUAGGUCGAUCGGUAUCUCACAUUCUUAAUUUGUUAAGAAUUUCAUUUCCUAAGUUUUUCUAGGUCACACCCAUUAUUUUUCCUGGGCCAUUAGCUCAGGUGGUUAGAGCGCACCCCUGAUAAGGGGGAGGUCCCUGGUUCAAGUCCAGGAUGGCCCAUAUCUCUAUGUUGGGGGUAUAGCUCAGUUGGUAGAGCGCCUGCUUUGCAAGCAGGAUGUCAGCGGUUCGAGUCCGCUUACCUCCACUGAUUACCACCUCUUCCAUAACCGGUAGAAAGGAAAUGUUUUGAGUUGUGAUCAUUAUUCUGAACGAAUCUAGCUUCCUAAUGAAAUCAUUAAGAUGCUGGAUUCAUUGAAUUAAUUUCAUUGUUUUCAGAGAACCUUGACAACUGCAUAGAUUUUUUAAAGACAAUAAGCAUCUUUAAUGAUGCAGAUUUAUUAUUUGUGCGAAAGCAUUUAUAACAAUUCUAUUAAGCUGAUGCUUCAAUUUUUGAAGUUAUU